AAGCAGAGAUUUAAGCUCGUACCUUUUGCAUCAUGAUUUAGCUAGAAAAACCCAAGCAAAGAGAACUUUAGUUUGAUUCCCCGAAACUAAGUGAGCUACUCCAAGACAGCCUAUUAAUAGGGCACACCCGUCUCUGUGGCAAAAGAGUGGGAAGAGCUUUGAGUAGAGGUGACAGACCUACCGAACCUAGUUAUAGCUGGUUGCCUGAGAAUUGGAUAGAAGUUCAGCCUCUCGGCUUCUUUCUUCACUUCCGUCUUGACCCCUCCUGACACCUAAAGAAACCGAGAGAGUUAGUCAAAGGGGGUACAGCCCCUUUGAAACAAGACACAACUUUUCCAGGAGGAUAAAGAUCAUAAAAACAAAGGUAAAAUGUUUGGGUGGGCCUAAAAGCAGCCAUCCCUAUAGAAAGCGUUAAAGCUCAGACAUACCUAUUACCCCCUUCAUCCCGAUAAUUUUAUCUUAACCCCCUAUUUCUACCAGGCCAUCCCAUGCAAGCAUGGGAGUGAUCAUGCUAAUAUGAGUAAUAAGAGAGCAUAAAACUCUCUCCUUGCACACGUGUAAAUCGGAACGGACUCCCCACCGAACAUUAACGGCCCCAAACAAAGAGGGUACUGAACAACAGACCAAACAACCAGAAGAACAUUCAAAACACUACCGUUAACCCCACACUGGUGUGCCCCCUAGGAAAGACUAAAAGAAAGAGAAGGAACUCGGCAAACACAUGAAGCCUCGCCUGUUUACCAAAAACAUCGCCUCUUGCAAAGCUGAAAAAUAAGAGGUCCCGCCUGCCCUGUGACUAUAAGUUUAACGGCCGCGGUAUUUUGACCGUGCGAAGGUAGCGCAAUCACUUGUCUUUUAAAUGGAGACCUGUAUGAAUGGCACAACGAGGGCUUAGCUGUCUCCUUUUUCAAGUCAAUGAAAUUGAUCUCCCCGUGCAGAAGCGGGGAUAAAACCAUAAGACGAGAAGACCCUAUGGAGCUUUAGACACCCAGGCAGAUCAUGUUAAACACUCCUAAAUAAAGGAUUAAACCAGAUGAACCCUGCCCUAAUGUCUUUGGUUGGGGCGACCGCGGGGAAACAAAAAACCCCCACGUGGAAUGGGAAUACUCCUCCUACAACUAAGAGCUCCUGCUCUAACAAACAGAAUUUCUGACCAAUAAGAUCCGGCAACGCCGAUCAACGGACCGAGUUACCCUAGGGAUAACAGCGCAAUCCCCUUUUAGAGCCCAUAUCGACAAGGGGGUUUACGACCUCGAUGUUGGAUCAGGACAUCCUAAUGGUGCAGCCGCUAUUAAGGGUUC
Molecule: ribosomal RNA, 1301 nt
Filed under: Siniperca chuatsi (mandarin fish)
Lineage: Eukaryota; Metazoa; Chordata; Actinopteri; Centrarchiformes; Sinipercidae
Description: partial 16S ribosomal RNA
Rfam family: Bacterial large subunit ribosomal RNA
Source: RNAcentral